CAGUAGCCGCGGGAAUACGUAGGUCCCGAGCGUUGUCCGGAUUUAUUGGGCGUAAAGCGAGCGCAGGCGGUUAGAUAAGUCUGAAGUUAAAGGCUGUGGCUUAACCAUAGUACGCUUUGGAAACUGUUUAACUUGAGUGCAAGAGGAGAGAGUGGAAUUCCAUGUGUAGCGGUGAAAUGCGUAGAUAUAUGGAGGAACACCGGUGGCGAAAGCGGCUCUCUGGCUUGUAACUGACGCUGAGGCUCGAAAGCGUGGGGAGCAAACAGGAUUAGAUACCCCCGUAGUCCCUGUCUCUUAUACA
RNAcentral lists this ribosomal RNA (301 nucleotides) under uncultured bacterium. RNAcentral describes it as "partial 16S ribosomal RNA". It matches the Rfam family "Bacterial small subunit ribosomal RNA", at positions 509 to 808 of the family's 1533-position model. The record is from RNAcentral.